Molecule: small RNA, 111 nt
Filed under: Bacillus sp. FJAT-27986
Lineage: Bacteria; Bacillati; Bacillota; Bacilli; Caryophanales; Bacillaceae
Description: BsrF
Rfam family: BsrF
Source: Rfam by way of RNAcentral
GCGAUGAGCUGAAUUGUGUAAGUCGAGCACAUACCUUAUGGUACACACUAUGUGGAGUGUGGUGACUCGCCUCAAUUUUUUCGAACAAGGCACCUGUUUUUAACAGGUGCC